RNAcentral lists this ribosomal RNA (447 nucleotides) under Vibrio parahaemolyticus. Its description in RNAcentral is "bacterial SSU rRNA". It matches the Rfam family "Bacterial small subunit ribosomal RNA", at positions 332 to 796 of the family's 1533-position model. The record is from RNAcentral. Lineage: Bacteria; Pseudomonadati; Pseudomonadota; Gammaproteobacteria; Vibrionales; Vibrionaceae.
CAGAUCCCUAUGGGAUGCAGCAGUAGGGAAUAUUGCUCAAUGGGGGAAACCCUGAAGCAGCAACGCCGCGUGGAGGAUGAAGGUUUUCGGAUUGUAAACUCCUUUUGUUAGAGAAGAUAAUGACGGUAUCUAACGAAUAAGCACCGGCUAACUCCGUGCCAGCAGCCGCGGUAAUACGGAGGGUGCAAGCGUUACUCGGAAUCACUGGGCGUAAAGAGCGCGUAGGCGGGAUAGCAAGUCAGAUGUGAAAUCCUAUGGCUUAACCAUAGAACUGCAUUUGAAACUGUUAUUCUAGAGUAUGGGAGAGGUAGGUGGAAUUCUUGGUGUAGGGGUAAAAUCCGUAGAGAUCAAGAGGAAUACUCAUUGCGAAGGCGACCUGCUAGAACAUUACUGACGCUGAGGCACGAAAGCGUGGGGAUCAAACAGGAUUAGAUACCCAAGUAGUCC